RNAcentral lists this ribosomal RNA (301 nucleotides) under uncultured bacterium. Its description in RNAcentral is "partial 16S ribosomal RNA". It matches the Rfam family "Bacterial small subunit ribosomal RNA", at positions 509 to 809 of the family's 1533-position model. The record is from RNAcentral.
CAGCCGCCGCGGUAAUACAGAGGGUGCAAGCGUUAAUCGGAAUUACUGGGCGUAAAGCGCGCGUAGGUGGUUUGUUAAGUUGGAUGUGAAAUCCCCGGGCUCAACCUGGGAACUGCAUCCAAAACUGGCAAGCUAGAGUAUGGUAGAGGGUGGUGGAAUUUCCUGUGUAGCGGUGAAAUGCGUAGAUAUAGGAAGGAACACCAGUGGCGAAGGCGACCACCUGGACUGAUACUGACACUGAGGUGCGAAAGCGUGGGGAGCAAACAGGAUUAGAUACCCCCGUAGUCCCUGUCUCUUAUAU